AGUUACAAAUCAGCUAAUGAUAGUAAAAGGUUAAGUGUCACAAGUUGAACAUUUCUGGUUGUGUCUCACGGACAAUCCUUAUACACAUAUAUUCAAGUUUAGCAAGGUUUAUUUUACUAUGUGUUUUUUUUUUUGUUUGUUUUUUUGAAUACCUAAAUGAACUACCCAGCUGGGCUGUUCAUUUGAUCCAUCCUGUGUGUGAAGGUGCCACAGUGAUGAUGUCAUGACCAAGAACUUCAUGUCUACUGAAAUUACGCUCCCCUAAGGGCCGCUUCCGACAAGAAACCACGUUCAACGGCAAGGAAAAGAAGCAAAACACAAGUGGAUCUUGGGUGUGGCUUUCCACCGCUGGAGACAGCUCUUGACAAGUAAAGAGAUGCUGAUGCUAAGCUCGCAACUUUCUCCCACCAAGCCUGCAGAGUGUACAGACACUGUGAGGAGGGUCUAGUAUCUGCGGAUGGAGCUGUGUGCGGCCACCACCUUUGAAACUGAUGGGAGCUUCCUGCAUAACUUUCACCUGACUGAGCUACUAAUAAAACGAUGUGAUGUCUCCUUCCACCUGCCUCAGCUCCUUGAAGACCCCAAAAGGCAAAUAGUAGAGCAGUGGAAAGAUGUUGAUGAGUACUGCAGGGCUGUUCACACAG
Molecule: long non-coding RNA, 644 nt
Organism: Seriola aureovittata
Lineage: Eukaryota; Metazoa; Chordata; Actinopteri; Carangiformes; Carangidae
Exons: 5
Source: RefSeq, a predicted model, not a curated record